RNAcentral lists this ribosomal RNA (253 nucleotides) under uncultured bacterium. RNAcentral describes it as "partial 16S ribosomal RNA". It matches the Rfam family "Bacterial small subunit ribosomal RNA", at positions 524 to 776 of the family's 1533-position model. The record is from RNAcentral.
UACAGAGGUCCCAAGCGUUGUUCGGAUUCACUGGGCGUAAAGGGUGCGUAGGUGGUCGGGUACGUCUGAUGUGAAAUCUCCGAGCUUAACUCGGAAAUGGCAUUGGAUACUAUUCGGCUAGAGGGUUUGAGGGGGGACUGGAAUACUUGGUGUAGCAGUGAAAUGCGUAGAUAUCAAGUGGAACACCAGUGGCGAAGGCGAGUCCCUGGAAAACUCCUGACACUGAGGCACGAAAGCUAGGGGAGCAAACAGG